CGGGGAGUAGCAUAGUCCGGUUAAUGCGUCGGGCUGGGGGUCCGAAGAUCGGAGGUUCGAAUCCUCUCUCCCCGACCA
RNAcentral lists this transfer RNA (78 nucleotides) under Candidatus Berkelbacteria bacterium CG08_land_8_20_14_0_20_39_8. RNAcentral describes it as "tRNA-Pro". It matches the Rfam family "tRNA". Rfam says of the family: Transfer RNA (tRNA) molecules are approximately 80 nucleotides in length. The record is from RNAcentral. Lineage: Bacteria; Candidatus Berkelbacteria.